AAUGAAUUGCCUGAUAAAAAGGAUUUCCUUGAUAGGGAUAUUAUAUAAUUUUAAUAUUAUAUUCAUUA
This 68-nucleotide transfer RNA is filed under the name Polypedilum masudai. RNAcentral describes it as "tRNA-Ile". The record is from RNAcentral. Lineage: Eukaryota; Metazoa; Arthropoda; Insecta; Diptera; Chironomidae.